AUGAGCGCUGACAGAAUGCUUAACACCUGCAAGUCAACUUGAAUUUGGGUUUUUAACUUAGGUUUGGGUGGCGGACGGGUGAGUAACGCGUAAAGAACUUGCCUCACAGCUAGGGACAACAUUUGGAAACGAAUGCUAAUACCUAAUAUUAUGAUAAUAGGGCAUCCUAUAAUUAUGAAAGCUAUAAGCGCUGUGAGAGAGCUUUGCGUCCCAUUAGCUAGUUGGAGAGGUAACGGCUCACCAAGGCGAUGAUGGGUAGCCGGCCUGAGAGGGUGAUCGGCCACAAGGGGACUGAGACACGGCCCUUACUCCUACGGGAGGCAGCAGUGGGGAAUAUUGGACAAUGGACCAAGAGUCUGAUCCAGCAAUUCUGUGUGCACGAUGAAGUUUUUCGGAAUGUAAAGUGCUUUCAGUUGGGAAGAAAGAAAUGACGGUACCAACAGAAGAAGUGACGGCUAAAUACGUG
Molecule: ribosomal RNA, 466 nt
Filed under: uncultured bacterium
Lineage: Bacteria
Description: partial 16S ribosomal RNA
Rfam family: Bacterial small subunit ribosomal RNA
Source: RNAcentral